AAGUUCCGACCUGCACGAAUGGCGUAACGACUUCCCCACUGUCUCCAGGAUAUGCUCAGCGAAAUUGAAUUCUCCGUGAAGAUGCGGAGUACCCGCGGUUAGACGGAAAGACCCCGUGCACCUUUACUGCAGCUUCAGAGUGGCAUUAGGAAAGAACUGUGUAGCAUAGGUGGGAGGCUUUGAAGCAUUGUCGCCAGACAAUGUGGAGCCAUAGG
This 215-nucleotide ribosomal RNA is filed under the name Buchnera aphidicola. RNAcentral describes it as "partial 23S ribosomal RNA". It matches the Rfam family "Bacterial large subunit ribosomal RNA", at positions 1978 to 2192 of the family's 2925-position model. Lineage: Bacteria; Pseudomonadati; Pseudomonadota; Gammaproteobacteria; Enterobacterales; Erwiniaceae. The record is from RNAcentral.